Molecule: small nuclear RNA, 106 nt
Filed under: Stegodyphus mimosarum
Lineage: Eukaryota; Metazoa; Arthropoda; Arachnida; Araneae; Eresidae
Source: RNAcentral
GUACCACUUAGCAGUAUAUAUACUGGAACUGGAGCAAUACAGAGAAAAACAGCAUGUCCGUGCGCAAGGAUGACACGCAAAACCCUUAAUGUAAUUGCAUAUUCAU